GCUGGGGCAGCUCAGUCAGUAGAUCAUGAGGGUUUUAAUCUCAGGGUUGUGGGUUCAAGCCCCACAUUGGGCA
Non-coding RNA from Podarcis lilfordi (Lilford's wall lizard), 73 nucleotides. Lineage: Eukaryota; Metazoa; Chordata; Lepidosauria; Squamata; Lacertidae. The record is from the annotation of a GenBank genome assembly.